Molecule: ribosomal RNA, 513 nt
Filed under: Oncideres polychroma
Lineage: Eukaryota; Metazoa; Arthropoda; Insecta; Coleoptera; Cerambycidae
Description: partial large subunit ribosomal RNA
Rfam family: Bacterial large subunit ribosomal RNA
Source: RNAcentral
GUCCUUUUGGUAAUAAUUUAAGGUCUAAUCUGCCCACUGAGUAAUUAAAGGGCCGCGGUAUAUUGACCGUGCUAAGGUAGCAUAAUAAUUAGUUUUUUAAUUGAAAGCUGGUAUGAAUGAUUGGAUGAGAAAAUAACUGUCUCUGGUUAAAUUAAGAUGAAUUUUAUGAUUAAGUGAGAAAGCUUAAAUAAAUUUAAAAGACGAGAAGACCCUAUAGAGUUUUAUAUUAAAAUUAAUUAUAAUUUUUAGUAUUAUAAAAUAUAUUUGUUUAAAAUAUUUAAUUGGGGUGAUUAAAAAAUUAAUUAAACUUUUUUUAUUUUAAAACAUAAGUAAGUGAUUAUUUGAUCCAUUAAUAAUGAUUAUAAGAUUAAAUUACCUUAGGGAUAACAGCGUAAUUUUUUUAGAGAGUUCAAAUUGAUAAAAAGGAUUGCGACCUCGAUGUUGGAUUAAAAUAAAUUUAUGGUGUAGAAGCUAUAAAGAUUAGGUCUGUUCGACCUUUAAAAUUUUACAUGA